This is a long non-coding RNA of Hermetia illucens (black soldier fly), 684 nucleotides long. RefSeq lists it as uncharacterized. The record is from RefSeq and is a predicted model, not a curated record. Lineage: Eukaryota; Metazoa; Arthropoda; Insecta; Diptera; Stratiomyidae. The transcript is spliced from 2 exons.
GAACUCAUUUUAGAAUGAAAUUUUUAACUUAAUGAGUCAAUUAUAAAAAGCUAAAAAAAAAUUAAAAUAAGUCUAAAAUCCUAUCAAAAACAGGAACUAAAUUGAAGUGCACUUUUGAAAAAUAAAUUAUUUUGUAUCAUUAAUUCAGUUGUAACACCUAUUUAAAAAGGCUAAAGCUUAUCCAGUAUGUCCAAGCAGAAGUAUGACGCGGACCAAUGCUAUAGAGUGCCACCCUUUAUCGAAUACUAUUAUUUCACGGGCAAUAUUUUUCCGAAAGGAGGAGCGGCCAGCGUAAACUGUGGAUCUCCUACGACGUACUGUUUAACUGAUUCCUGUCUUACACAUCCUCUAAACACGAUGUGUCAUCCCGAAUGCUUUCCACCCAGAGGAGAAAUGUGUAUCCCGUGGUUAGGAGGACCAGCUCCGCAACCUCGAGGAUUCGGAUACGGAUGUUGCGGGAUGUCCAACGGGGGUUACUAUUAAAAAGGGAAUCUUUAUUUGGCGACUUUUUAUUGGAAUGGAUUGCCAGGGAAUCCAAAGAAUUUUGCAUAAAACGGACUGCCAAAUGUAGCCAUCACAACUGAUAAAUAACUGGUUUGUACUAAAUAUUCAUCUGUCAGUAGCUGUUUUUUUUUUUGGGCAUAAGCAUGCAGUGCACAAUUUCGGGGUUUUAUUACUAAUAAA